RNAcentral lists this ribosomal RNA (708 nucleotides) under Escherichia coli. RNAcentral's name for it is "partial 23S ribosomal RNA". It matches the Rfam family "Bacterial large subunit ribosomal RNA", at positions 744 to 1448 of the family's 2925-position model. The record is from RNAcentral. Lineage: Bacteria; Pseudomonadati; Pseudomonadota; Gammaproteobacteria; Enterobacterales; Enterobacteriaceae.
GUUGAAGGUUGGGUAACACUAACUGGAGGACCGAACCGACUAAUGUUGAAAAAUUAGCGGAUGACUUGUGGCUGGGGGUGAAAGGCCAAUCAAACCGGGAGAUAGCUGGUUCUCCCCGAAAGCUAUUUAGGUAGCGCCUCGUGAAUUCAUCUCCGGGGGUAGAGCACUGUUUCGGCAAGGGGGUCAUCCCGACUUACCAACCCGAUGCAAACUGCGAAUACCGGAGAAUGUUAUCACGGGAGACACACGGCGGGUGCUAACGUCCGUCGUGAAGAGGGAAACAACCCAGACCGCCAGCUAAGGUCCCAAAGUCAUGGUUAAGUGGGAAACGAUGUGGGAAGGCCCAGACAGCCAGGAUGUUGGCUUAGAAGCAGCCAUCAUUUAAAGAAAGCGUAAUAGCUCACUGGUCGAGUCGGCCUGCGCGGAAGAUGUAACGGGGCUAAACCAUGCACCGAAGCUGCGGCAGCGACGCUGAUGCGUUGUUGGGUAGGGGAGCGUUCUGUAAGCCUGCGAAGGUGUGCUGUGAGGCAUGCUGGAGGUAUCAGAAGUGCGAAUGCUGACAUAAGUAACGAUAAAGCGGGUGAAAAGCCCGCUCGCCGGAAGACCAAGGGUUCCUGUCCAACGUUAAUCGGGGCAGGGUGAGUCGACCCCUAAGGCGAGGCCGAAAGGCGUAGUCGAUGGGAAACAGGUUAAUAUUCCUGUACUUGG